ACUAACGGUAAAAAAUGAAAUCAACCCGUAGGCUUUCGAACCAGUUGGUGGAGGUGGAAGACAGUGAGAGUGUGCAAGUAUGCCAGCAAAUGGAAGGUUCCGGAUUCAGCACAUAGAUUCCAAAUUGUAGCUAUAAACAGAGCAACUCAUUAACCCUGUACCAUGACUACUGGGCACAUGAGCAGAGCUCCCCCACGCUUCAGUUGGGCCAUCAAGAAAACCCAAGGUGCCCAGCUUCCUGCCUCAGCUACAGCCAGCCCUCCACCAGCUGUCAAGGAGCCUCGUGUUCCUUGUCUCCCGAGAAGUGGCUGGUUCUCGCCUCCUCCGCCGUGCUCCCCGUAAACUGCAAGAUAGAACAACGGCCUGGUGGCUCCCUAACCGGAUACAUUAAAUCAGCCUUCCCCUUUGAGAUCAUCGUGCAGAUCCCUUCAGGAUUCACGAACGCUUCACCUCAGUCACCAACAGCAGCCCGUGCCCUAAGGCCCUAAUCCAAUGACUGAUGUCCUUACAAGGAAACGGAAAGAUCACCUGAAGACAGAGACACGGGGAGAGGACCACAUGAAGACAGGCCAGAGAUGGGAGUGCUAUAUCUACCAGCCAAGGAUCACUGGUGAUUUCUGGUGACCACCAGAAGCUAGAAAGGAAGGACCCUCCCCUAGAGCCCUCAGAGGGAGUAUCGCCUUGCUGAUAGCUUGACUUUAGACCUCUGGCCCCCAGAACCGACAGACAAUAAACUCCUGUUGUUUUAAGCC
Molecule: long non-coding RNA, 752 nt
Organism: Leopardus geoffroyi (Geoffroy's cat)
Lineage: Eukaryota; Metazoa; Chordata; Mammalia; Carnivora; Felidae
Exons: 2
Source: RefSeq, a predicted model, not a curated record